GAUGAACGCUGGCGGCGUGCCUAAUACAUGCAAGUCGAGCGAACGGACGAGAAGCUUGUUUCUCUGAUGUUAGCGGCGGACGUGUGAGUAACACGUGGAUAACCUACCUAUCAGACUGGGAUAACUUCGGGAAACCGGAGCUAAUACCGGAUAAUCUUUUGAUCCGCAUGGUUCAAAAGUGAAAGACGGUCUUGCUGUCACUUAUCGAUGGAUCCGCGCUGCAUUAGCUAGUUGGUAGGUUAACGGCUUACCAAGGCAACGAUGCAUAGCCGACCUGAGAGGGUGAUCGGCCACACUAGAACGGGAACACGGUCCAGACUCCUACGGGAGGCAGCAGUAGGGAAUCGUCCGCAAUGGGCGAAAGCCUGACGGAGCAACGCCGCGUGAGUGAUGAAGGUCUUCGGAUCGUAAAACUCUGUUAUUAGGGAAGAACAUAUGUGUAAGUAACUGUGCACAGCUUGACGGUACCUAGUCAGAAAGCCACGGCUAACUACGUG
This 497-nucleotide ribosomal RNA is filed under the name uncultured bacterium. RNAcentral describes it as "partial 16S ribosomal RNA". It matches the Rfam family "Bacterial small subunit ribosomal RNA", at positions 28 to 507 of the family's 1533-position model. The record is from RNAcentral.